UUGAACUCACAACCCUGGGUUUAGCAGGCCAAUGCUCAAACCACUGAGCUAUCCCUCCCUACCCUAAAAAAUUGAAAUCCCAAUAGCUAUUCCACUCUAGCUCCACACAUUAGGGUACCUUUACACAGCAGUUUGGAGGUGUGACUGCAGCAAGCAUAGGCAUUCCCAAACUAAUUUUUAGCUAGCUAGCUAGAUCAAAGCAGCAUCAAAGCCAUGGCAGCACAAGCACAGGCUAGCCAUGAGUGCAAGCCCUCUGGGGCACUAGAUAUGUAUUCAGGUGACAAGCCCAUGCCACUGCAGUUUCACAGCAAUCUUUAGUGGACCAGUUAGAGCCAAGUAUGGCUACAGUCACAUCUCCCAAUUCCUGUAGAGAUAUACCCUAGAAGAGUGUCUUUUCGCAGUCUAAUUUAACCCACUUCUGAAGUCAAUUAAGCUAAAUUGGACAAAAGCAUCCCUACUGCAGAAUAAGAGUGUCCAUAUGUGCAGCUAAUGCAGAAUCGGUAUUGAACAUUAGCUAUUCCAGGCUAUUUCCCCAUGCAGACAAGUCCUUAGAAUGUAAGCUCCUUGGAGCAGGGACCUGUCAUUCUGUCCAAACUAUUAUGCACAUCUGUAGUGCUGUAUAAAUAAAGGACAGUUACAAGUGGAAACAGAAAUGUAUAUAAUGUAUUUAAUCUGGUUAGAUUUUUGUUCCAACUGCUAUAAUCAUUUUUGGCUAGGGUCCAGAUCAAAGUAGUGAGUUUCUCAAAAACCUCUUCCCUAAGGUGUAAAAUUCAUGCCAAGAUAAAUGUGUUCAUAUUACAGCAAAUCACUUUCACUUAUAUUCAAGUGAAAGUAUUUCUAUUACAGGAUGGGUAAGACUGUAGCAAAUAAAAAGCCAUACCACUACAAUGCUUUAGUUGUUAAUGUAAUGAGUAUCGGGGGUACUAGCCUUCUGUCUCAAGAACAUAGUUCUAAACUUUAUUUAUGUAACAGUUGUGCCAUCCAACUCAGUCUCAUCCUAGUCUAUUUGUGCACAUAACAAAAACCACACACUUUGCUAUUCUGGUUCUCACUAUCCUUUAAGCAGAGUAGGCUAUGAUACUGCAGGUCAGAAGAUGGUGCACUGACAAACCUGAGCGUGCAAGUCUACACUGGACUCCAUCUGCUUUAAUGGUGUUUCACUUUGUCCAUAUCAAAUUAACUCAAAAUCUAAAUAUAGUUACAUGGCCAGGACACUUCACUUGCAAUCAGCUAUUUGCUAUUUGCCCACCACUUUGGGGUCUAAGACCCAAAAAUAAAUAGUGUUUUCCCCUCUGGAAUCCGGGGUGGGGGGGGGAGAGUGAAUCUAUACCUUCACCGUUUUUUUGUUUGUUUGUUUUUUAAAUGGACUCUGUUCUGGGGAACUAUCAAAAAAAAUACAUCCUCCAGUUCGUGAGAUUUCUGAUUUAGGUUACCUAACCACUCCUAAAGCUAUAAAAGUUUUACAACCUUAUAAAUGUUUUCAAGCUACUAAUGUUACCUGUACAGUAUAAUUUAGCUUUUAAAGUAUUAUAUAUCAUUCAGUUUGCUUCCUUGUUAGGAACAGUUAGUAUAACUUCAAAAAGGCCAUGAAAUAAAUUACUACAGUUUAGUUGGAAUCUUCACUCAGUGACAAUGUCUGCAUGGUAUUGAUGCUUGCGCUAUACAAGGUAACAUCUGUGGAUUAUAACCUCAUCAGGGCAGUUUAUGGGUUUUUCUAAGAAGUCUUACAAGUUGUGCCUGAUACCUGAAACAGUAUUCUUUCCCCCUAGUGCCUGCCUACAUUUAGUUCUGCUUUGUGCCACAGCAGAGGCUAGUAAUAAAUAAUAUACCACUUGUAUUAUUAUAACACCUAGGAGCCCUAGUUAUGGACCAGGACCCCAUUAUGCUAGGCAUUGUAUCUGUGCUCCUACAUCCGCAUAUAAUUUUAUAAAGAUGUCAGGGCUGCAUUCUUACCUCCUCCCUAUUUGUUUGAAACAAUACCAUGAGUACCUAUGUGAAAAGGGUGCUACGAAGUGCUGUGGAAAUUAUUUCCAUCUCCUGAACACAGCAAGAGAUUUUAUUUAAGGUAGGCAGGGCCUGCAGCACAGGAAUCUGAUCUGUGUGGAGCGGGGGAGGGGGGGCAACGCAGACAGCUGGGCAUCCUGGCCCAAGACAGAGAGAUCGCAGGGAGCCUUUGGAAGGGGAGGCCUAGAAUCAAGACUGACCCUGAAAGGGGGAGGCUCAUUUCCCAGCCGGUAGGAGCCGAAGGGCCUUUAUCAACCACGGCCAAGGAACAGCCCCUGCCUGCGACGCCUGCUGCACACAGGCUCCUUCACCCGCCACCAUGGCAGAGACCAAUGAAGCAAAACCUUUGCAACUUUGAUGUGGCACGGCAAGAACUCAAAUCAGAUAACUACAUGCAAGAAUGAUCUCAACCAGUAGAUUGUCCCAAUACUAUAGUCAAAUUCCUGCCAACCAUUAUCUUCAGUAUUUAAGCCCAGUGGAAGAAAAUAGCAAGAGGAGACCAGGCAGGAUGUGAUGUUAUCAAGAUAGUUGUCACAGAUCAACCAUGCAAAAUGCUUUGUGUUGAUCUACAUGAAAAUGCAAUGUUCUGUAGCUUUGCAUUGUACGUGCUUUAUCAGUGUAUUGGUAGUUUAAUUAAGCAAGCUGUUAUACACUACCUAGCAGAUCCUUUAUAUCUCUGCAUUUGUUUGCUCCUGCAUUAUGUUAGCAUUUUGACUUAGAAAGGCACAGUUGCUUCUAAAAAUGAGCCUGAUUCCAUUGAUACCUCACACAGACGCCAUGUGAAGGUGGGAGAAAAACUCAAAAGUGGGGAAAAUAAAAAUGGCUCUGAAGCUAGAUGAUUUCUCUCACUAGAGAUGCUUUGGAAAUGGAGCCACCAGUGCUGCAUGCCCCACAUGAGUAUGUGAAAGCAUGAGUGAGAGGGGUAUGAUGACAAGUCAGAUGCAGACAGCAUUCAUCCCCAUCUUGAGAAAUUUACAAUCCUUUCAGGACUCUUUAACACAAUUUCCCUCACCUAACCUAUUCUUUAAACAUUCUAUUUCAAAACUAUUUUGAUGUCCACAAAAAUAUAUGUCUGCUUUCUUCCACUACUAUUCAUUAUAAAGGCCUAAGGAAUAUUUAAAUGAAACAGGAUUUUUGAACUAUAUUUUUAAUUUAAGUACAAAGCAGAUCAUCAUAAACAAACGCUCAUGAACUAUAAAAGUCACAUGAGUCAUGAUGCCUGUAUGGUAAACAAUGAAUACAAACUGCCUACAUUUAUACAAAAAAGGAUUGCAUUUUUUUUUAAUUUGAAUAGCAAUUCCACCCUCAGUUCUCUCAAAAACUGGCUUCUACUUUCUCCACUCCAGUUAAACUGCUCUCAUCAAGGUUUCAGAUUAUAGGUCUGAUCACAAAAUUUCAAAUUUUUAAAUUCUUCAGUGAAGAAAGGACAGACAAUCUGCCAAACAUUUUUGGCCAGCUCUAUCAAUAACCUCUCCUGGCCAAAGUGAGGGCCCCUUCCCCAGCCCAUGCUCAUCCUCUCUGCUGCUCUAGAUACUGUUGAUUGUACCCUCUUUCUUGACAUCUGUCCUGCUUUGGCUUGCACAAUACAAUCCUCUGCUGGUUCUCUCCCCUUCUCUCUUUACACUCUUUUCUUAAGCUGAUCUCAUCUGCUCACACGGCUUUAACGAUCUUCUCCAUGUUGAUGCCUCACAAAUGCACAUCUUCAUCCUGUUCCAUAUUGCAGGUUGUCUCUCUGGCAUCUCCUCCAGGAUGUGUCCAAAAAUCAAACUUGUAUUUCCUCCCAAGCUCUCCCCAUGCAUCCCCAUUAUCUGUUACUGUUGUACACACAGCCAUUUUUUGUGUCAUUCAGUGAAGCUUUUGAUCUAAGUAUCAUCUUGGACUCCUUCCUCUCCCUAGUCCACACAUCCAAAUCCUGCCACUUCUUCCUCAACACUAUCUCUGUGAUCUGGUUCAUUUCUAGCUAGUCAGCAACCUGAAACACUUGUCCAGGCCUUCAGCAUCUUAAUUUCUAGUCCCUCCUCUUCCUUUCCAGCCUCUUAACAUUGGCCUCUCCCAGUUCACACAAAAUGAAUCCUUUAGAAUCAUAUUAAUCUUCUUCUACUAGCUUCCCCUUCUCCACACAUCAAGUUCAAUAUUCUUGUCCUCCCUUUAACGACUUGCAUAACUCCACCUCCCCUUCACCCCCCAAAUAAUCCAUUCUUGUGAGGUAGGGAAGACUAGCUCCUUCCUAAUUUCUAGCCCAGAAACCAUUUGGAGACCUUCUUCUGAUAAAACACCUUGUGCAGUUUAUUUACAAUGUUCUUUCCCACAGCCUUUACAGACUAUGCAGCCUUGGAUCAGCAGUACCAUGGAGCAUCUGGCCCAUGAGGGAAGGAGAUCUCUCACAUCUGAGUUUGCAAGUCCCCCUCUCAUGCAUCCUUAUUGUGCCUUUUGUACUGUAACACUGAACCCCAUAUUCUUCAUAGUGAUAUUAUUAUGAUAGGAUUAUGGCAUA
Long non-coding RNA from Gopherus evgoodei (Goodes thornscrub tortoise), 4498 nucleotides. RefSeq lists it as uncharacterized. The record is from RefSeq and is a predicted model, not a curated record. NCBI's taxonomy places the organism in Eukaryota, Metazoa, Chordata, Testudines, Testudinidae. The transcript is spliced from 3 exons.